GGCCUCGUAGUUCAAUGGAUAGAAUGGGAGUUUCCUAAACUUUUGAUACAGGUUCGAUUCCUGUCGAGGCUACUA
RNAcentral lists this transfer RNA (75 nucleotides) under Flavobacterium cyanobacteriorum. RNAcentral describes it as "tRNA-Arg". It matches the Rfam family "tRNA". From Rfam's summary of the family: Transfer RNA (tRNA) molecules are approximately 80 nucleotides in length. Their secondary structure includes four short double-helical elements and three loops (D, anti-codon, and T loops). Lineage: Bacteria; Pseudomonadati; Bacteroidota; Flavobacteriia; Flavobacteriales; Flavobacteriaceae. The record is from RNAcentral.